UCUCUUCUUAGUGUUUUGUUCGAUUGUGUAGUAGUCGAAUUCAAUUGCAAAACGGAUCUAUCUGUUGUUUUUUUUCAUCCGGUAGAUCAGUUUCAUUAUUAAUCCCAUUGAUGUUUGGUGUACAAAGCUUGUCUGCAAUGCCAUCACACUUACCAUGAUACUUCAUCAUGUCCUGUAUCUUUAACAUAACUGGCACUUUGUAAUCACUUGGUUUUGCGCCUUAAUUGGUUUGCGUUAUGUUGAACUAGUGUAGGAUGUGGGUUAGCUCGAUUGCAUGGACCUGCUGCGCGAAGCUCGUGUUGGUUUGAUGGUUCAAGAUGCAGCAACCAAAAACAGAAGUGCUACUUCAAUUCUUUGAGGUCUUGAUAUCAGCUUAAAUAAUACACAUGGUUUGAGGUCUACCGUAAGGCUUGCCAACAAAUUGAUCUAAGGACAUCCAAGGCAUAGAACAAUGCAUGGAGACCAAAGCACCUCUGGUUUGCUUCAAUGACAAUCAUGUCAGCAAAAUCAACACUUGUUUUUCGCCACUGCAUGCACGAUGUUACCAGCAAUGCCUUUAGCUUCAAACAGACUGUGUAGAGGUAUGCCAAAUGGAGUGGCCCAUAUGUUUGCAAGUUGUAAUUUUGCAAAUUUGUCGGCGGUGUUGGGAGGACAGCCAGGCCAAGAGCCUAAACUCUACCAAGCGGCACUUUGUAUCGAACUCGGUUUAGCUUAAGAGAAUUUUUGUUGCCAUGCCUUACUUUCUUCCAUUAUUGGUUGUAUGAAGUAUUUGUAGGAUAAAGCUUUGAAGCUAUUAAGAUUUGUACGGUUCUGAAUUAUCCCUCUAUGAUGAAUGUAUCCUAAAGUUCCUUG
Long non-coding RNA from Lathyrus oleraceus (garden pea), 852 nucleotides. RefSeq lists it as uncharacterized. The transcript is spliced from 3 exons. Lineage: Eukaryota; Viridiplantae; Streptophyta; Magnoliopsida; Fabales; Fabaceae. The record is from RefSeq and is a predicted model, not a curated record.